Molecule: non-coding RNA, 2885 nt
Organism: Pseudoalteromonas atlantica
Lineage: Bacteria; Pseudomonadati; Pseudomonadota; Gammaproteobacteria; Alteromonadales; Pseudoalteromonadaceae
Source: Rfam
GGUUAAGUGACUAAGCGUAUACGGUGGAUGCCUAGGCAGUUAGAGGCGAUGAAGGACGUGUAAGUCUGCGAAAAGUUGUGGGGAGCCGACAAAAUGCUUUGAUCCACAAAUGUCCGAAUGGGGAAACCCACCGCUUCGGCGGUAUCAUACAGUGAAUACAUAGCUGUAUGAGGCAAACGAGGGGAACUGAAACAUCUAAGUACCCUUAGGAAAAGAAAUCAACCGAGAUUCCCCUAGUAGCGGCGAGCGAACGGGGAUUAGCCCUUAAGCUAAUGAUAAGCGAGUGGAAGGUGUUGGAAAGCACAGCGAUACAAGGUGAUAGCCCUGUACACGAACGCGAAUUUUAAGUGAAAUCGAGUAGGUCGGGACACGUGUUAUCUUGACUGAACAUGGGGGGACCAUCCUCCAAGGCUAAAUACUCCUAACUGACCGAUAGUGAACUAGUACCGUGAGGGAAAGGCGAAAAGAACCCCUGUGAGGGGAGUGAAAUAGAACCUGAAACCGUAUACGUACAAGCAGUGGGAGCAGACUUGUUCUGUGACUGCGUACCUUUUGUAUAAUGGGUCAGCGACUUAUAUUUUGUAGCAAGGUUAACCGAAUAGGGGAGCCGUAGCGAAAGCGAGUGUUAACUGCGCGUUUUAGUUGCAAGGUAUAGACCCGAAACCCGGUGAUCUAGCCAUGGGCAGGUUGAAGGUUGAGUAACAUCAACUGGAGGACCGAACCGACUAACGUUGAAAAGUUAGCGGAUGACUUGUGGCUGGGGGUGAAAGGCCAAUCAAACCGGGAGAUAGCUGGUUCUCCCCGAAAGCUAUUUAGGUAGCGCCUCGGACGAAUACCACUGGGGGUAGAGCACUGUUAAGGCUAGGGGGUCAUCCCGACUUACCAACCCUUUGCAAACUCCGAAUACCAGUGAGUACUAUCCGGGAGACACACGGCGGGUGCUAACGUCCGUCGUGAAGAGGGAAACAACCCAGACCGCCAGCUAAGGUCCCAAAAUUAUUGCUAAGUGGGAAACGAUGUGGGAAGGCUAAGACAGCUAGGAGGUUGGCUUAGAAGCAGCCACCCUUUAAAGAAAGCGUAAUAGCUCACUAGUCGAGUCGGCCUGCGCGGAAGAUGUAACGGGGCUAAGCAAUAUACCGAAGCUGCGGACGCAAAGUUUACUUUGCGUGGUAGGGGAGCGUUGUGUAAGUGGCUGAAGGUGAACUGAGAGGUUUGCUGGACAUAUCACAAGUGCGAAUGCUGACAUGAGUAACGAUAAUGCGGGUGAAAAACCCGCACGCCGGAAGACCAAGGUUUCCUGUCCCAUGCUAAUCAGGGCAGGGUAAGUCGGCCCCUAAGGCGAGGCAGAAAUGCGUAGUCGAUGGGAAACGGAUUAAUAUUUCCGUACUUGGUAUAUCAGUGAUGGGGGGACGGAGAAGGUUAUGCAAGCAUAGCGUUGGUUGUCUAUGUGAAAGUGUGUAGGGUUGAAUCUUAGGUAAAUCCGGGAUUCUACAUGCCUGAGACACGAGACGAGAUUCUACGGAAUUGAAGUUGCAAAUACCCUGCUUCCAGGAAAAGCCUCUAAACUUAUGAUAUAUCGAACCGUACCCCAAACCGACACAGGUGGUCAGGUAGAGAAUACUAAGGCGCUUGAGAGAACUCGGGUGAAGGAACUCGGCAAAAUCGUACCGUAACUUCGGGAGAAGGUACGCCCCUGUUUGUGAUGAGACUUGCUCUUUGAGCGAAUGGGGGCCGCAGUGAAAAGGUGGCUGGGACUGUUUAUUAAAAACACAGCACUGUGCUAAAUCGAAAGAUGACGUAUACGGUGUGACACCUGCCCGGUGCCGGAAGGUUAAUUGAUGGGGUUAGCGCAAGCGAAGCUCUUGAUCGAAGCCCCGGUAAACGGCGGCCGUAACUAUAACGGUCCUAAGGUAGCGAAAUUCCUUGUCGGGUAAGUUCCGACCUGCACGAAUGGUGUAACCAUGGCCACGCUGUCUCCACCCGAGACUCAGUGAAAUUGAAAUCGCAGUGAAGAUGCUGUGUACCCGCACCUAGACGGAAAGACCCCGUGAACCUUUACUAUAGCUUGGCACUGAACAUUGACCCUACAUGUGUAGGAUAGGUGGGAGACUUUGAAGCGUGAACGCCAGUUUGCGUGGAGUCAACCUUGAAAUACCACCCUUGUACGUUUGAUGUUCUAACGUUGUUCCCUUAUCGGGAAUGCGGACAGUGCCUGGUGGGUAGUUUGACUGGGGCGGUCUCCUCCCAAAGAGUAACGGAGGAGCACGAAGGUUGGCUAAUCCUGGUCGGACAUCAGGAGGUUAGUGCAAUGGCAUAAGCCAGCUUAACUGCGAGACAGACACGUCGAGCAGGUACGAAAGUAGGUCAUAGUGAUCCGGUGGUUCUGUAUGGAAGGGCCAUCGCUCAACGGAUAAAAGGUACUCCGGGGAUAACAGGCUGAUACCGCCCAAGAGUUCAUAUCGACGGCGGUGUUUGGCACCUCGAUGUCGGCUCAUCACAUCCUGGGGCUGAAGUCGGUCCCAAGGGUAUGGCUGUUCGCCAUUUAAAGUGGUACGCGAGCUGGGUUUAGAACGUCGUGAGACAGUUCGGUCCCUAUCUGGUGUGGGCGUUGGAUGAUUGAGGGGAGCUGCUCCUAGUACGAGAGGACCGGAGUGGACGAACCGCUGGUGUUCGGGUUGUUUUGCCAAAAGCAUUGCCCGGUAGCUACGUUCGGAAUCGAUAACCGCUGAAAGCAUCUAAGCGGGAAGCGAGCCCCAAGAUGAGUCAUCCCUGGCAGUUUAACUGUCCUAAAGGGUUGUUGAAGACUACGACGUUGAUAGGCAGGAUGUGGAAGCGUUGCAAGGCGUUAAGCUAACCUGUACUAAUUGCCCGUGAGGCUUAACCAU